GACGAACGCUGGCGGCGUGCUUAACACAUGCAAGUCGAACGGAAAGGCCCUGCUUUUGUGGGGUGCUCGAGUGGCGAACGGGUGAGUAACACGUGAGUAACCUGCCCUUGACUUUGGGAUAACUUCAGGAAACUGGGGCUAAUACCGGAUAGGAGCUCCUGCUGCAUGGUGGGGGUUGGAAAGUUUCGGCGGUUGGGGAUGGACUCGCGGCUUAUCAGCUUGUUGGUUGGGUAGUGGCUUACCAAGGCUUUGACGGGUAGCCGGCCUGAGAGGGUGACCGGCCACAUUGGGACUGAGAUACGGACCAGACUCCUACGGGAGGCAGCAGUGGGGAAUAUUGCACAAUGGGCGGAAGCCUGAUGCAGCAACGCCGCGUGCGGGAUGACGGCCUUCGGGUUGUAAACCGCUUUCGCAUGUGACGAAGCGUGAGUGACGGUAAUGGGUAAAGAAGCACCGGCUAACUACGUG
This 468-nucleotide ribosomal RNA is filed under the name uncultured bacterium. RNAcentral describes it as "partial 16S ribosomal RNA". It matches the Rfam family "Bacterial small subunit ribosomal RNA", at positions 28 to 507 of the family's 1533-position model. The record is from RNAcentral.